Molecule: ribosomal RNA, 2136 nt
Filed under: Triticum aestivum (bread wheat)
Lineage: Eukaryota; Viridiplantae; Streptophyta; Magnoliopsida; Poales; Poaceae
Description: partial small subunit ribosomal RNA
Source: RNAcentral
AUGGCGUGGAUCACCACCGCUUCCUUCAACCCCUCUUCCCUGACCGGGCCAUACGUCGCCGGCGGCGCCGCCGCCGCCUCCCCACGCUCCUCCGCCUAUCCCGACUGGGUCCUACUCCGCAAGACGGCGCGCAUCUCGGCGUUCCGGAACGUGACCACCGCCGAGGGCCGCACGGCCGAGGGCCGAGCCGUCGAGGCGUCCUUCUGGCUCGUCGACCCGCCGGGCGUCUCCUACUUCUCCGUCCACUGCCCCAGCCUCCAGGAGGACGACUUCUCCGGCGAGCCCCAGGUCGUCUGCGCCGAGGCCGCCUUCGUCCUCUUCCGCGUCAGAUUCAGCUUCCCCAGCGAGAGGCGGAUCUCCACCCACCACUUCGUCUACACGGCCCGCGGCGCUGCGGGGCCGCCCUCACUGCAACUCCUCCCGGUGCCCCCCGGCGUUGAGGACGUCAAAUCCCAUCAGCUUGGCCUCUUGCCGCGCGGCGGCGAGCACUACGCCGUCGCCUUCCUCGAUCGCAAUUGGACCGCCCAAGGUGACGCCUGGCAGUGGCAGUUCGAUGCCUACGUCUUCUCGCCAGAGACAUGUUCCUCGCUGGGCUUAUCGGAGGCCUCGCUGGGCUUAUGCGACCUCCAAGCAGGUCCGGGCCAGAAGCCCGCUCGUCCCGUCCACCCUCUGGUCGGAGCAAGCACACUGGGCUGGGUUGAUAUCUCACGCGGCAUUACUCUCCUCUGCGACCUGUUCGACGAGUGUCCUGUCGUGAAAUACGUCCCCUUCCCGGCGACAGUGGUUUGCGUCGCACCCUACUACCGUCUCACUCGUCACUCGGCGCAAUGCUUCCACGAUGUCGCCUGCUAUGAGGGUCUGAUCAAAUUCGUCGAGAUAGGCUUCGAUGAACCUGACUGCAUGAUAAAGGGUAAAGGCUGGAGAGCCACCACAUGGAUCAGAAACAUCUCUUGGGGAAGUUGGCGCAAGCACACCAGAGUUGAUGUCGCUAACAUCUCGGUUGACCAAAGAUAUUCUGCUCUGUUGCCUGAGCUGUGGAACCAUGAGACCCAUAAGCUAGAGCUGAAGAAACUGGUUUUCUUACUACCCACCCUGAGCGUGCGCAACGAUGAUCUUCUCUACAUCAUGGCCAAGGUGGGUGGGGAACAUGACAAGGCCUGGGUCAUCGCCGUUGGCAUGAAAAGUGCGGUUGUGGAGGGACUAGCCCCUGUUUCGACCGGACGGUACUGCCCCAGUACAAUGUUCUCCCCAUGUGCCUUCCCGUACCUCAACUACAUGACCCAAGGAAACAAGUCUGAAGAACCACUCGUUGGAUGUGAUGGAGGAAUCUUGGAAGAACAGGAAAUUCAAGCCGAGCACAGGAUAAGAGGGCCUGAGAUGGGCAAUCCAGUGGACAAAUACUUUAAGAGGAUGAAUGCUUCACAGUGUGCUCUGCAAGUGCUGUUGACUCAACGCUGGUUCAGGGAACUUGAUGAAUGGUUGGAUUCUCAGGGAUCAGCUUGUGAUGCAUACUGCAAAUCACUACCUUACUGGUGUCCAGCAUCAGCUCUGUGUUUUGAUAUUAAGGUGGUAAACUAUGCUUCCUAUAAUGGUGAUGGAGAAGGUGCUUCCAUGGCUGUAGAUUCCUGCUUACCAGCUUUGGACGAUUUCUAUAAACUACUGAAGCAGUCACCUCUGAGUGAUCCAUCAACAACUGAAGCCAUGAAGCGUCAAAUCAUGGUUGCCCUUGGCUCUCUAGACAGCAUCUUGGAAUUUGUACCGCUAAACCGUAUGCCAAGGAGCAUACAGAAGGUGCUUGUAGAUGUCUGCCUGGAACAAAAAGAAAAAACACUAGUAUGUGAACACUGCGAGAAGCCAGGCCUUACAGAGGAUGAAUCUGACGAAUGGCGGCAAUGGGGAUCAGACUCGGGGGACGAAUCGGAUGAAUGGCAGCAAGGGUCAUCCGACUCGGAGGAUGAAUCUGAUGAAUGGCAGCGAGUGGGACCUGACUUGGAUGACUCCCUAGAGACCCUCGGGAAGAAGCAGGCACAGGUUCUGGAUCGCCGGUCGGGGCACUCGUGUUGGCUGUAUUUUGUUUGCUGCGUAUUGGUAGUGGUGGCCGCAAGAGCGUUGAGCCAUCCCACUUUAAUGUCAUAG